UGACCUCGGAUUAGGUAGGAAUACCCGCUGAAUUAA
RNAcentral lists this ribosomal RNA (36 nucleotides) under Cryphonectria parasitica (chestnut blight fungus). RNAcentral's name for it is "partial 28S ribosomal RNA". Lineage: Eukaryota; Fungi; Ascomycota; Sordariomycetes; Diaporthales; Cryphonectriaceae. The record is from RNAcentral.